Molecule: non-coding RNA, 2093 nt
Organism: Jatropha curcas
Lineage: Eukaryota; Viridiplantae; Streptophyta; Magnoliopsida; Malpighiales; Euphorbiaceae
Source: RefSeq, a predicted model, not a curated record
GUGAAUCCUGAGCAUGGUAGUGUACUUUUCCAGGAUUCAUUUUCUCUUGGGGUCGUGUGGAGAAUAAUGUCAGCAAAGAGUUGAACAGGGAGUUUGUUUCCAGUCCUGUUAUUUAUAACAUAUUAUUCUCUAGCUUUUGGGAGGUGGCAGUACAUUCUGAACUGGUAUGGUUUAAUGUAUUUUAAGGGUUAGAUGGACCAAAGACUGUCCAAUUGGUGUUGCCUUUGCCAUACCUCUCUCAGAGCUUUAUAUCUUAACAACUUCUUUCGUUCUUUCUUUUUUUGUUUUAUUCAAUUUAUAAUUUUAUAUUCAUGUCCCAUCAAAUUUUACUUGAGGCUUGCUUUCUUGUUUUCUCAGGGUGGUUACUUUCUUCUGUUGAAGAUGUGAAAUAAUCUUAAACAAGGGGUUAUCUUUGAUCUUGAUCAAUAAUAUAAUUUAAAACUUUUAUACUUAAUGGGUAUUGAUAAAUUUCCCAAGCAUGGUGAUAUUUUCUAGGAUGCAAUUUUCUUUUUUUCUGGAGACGUAUCAGGAAUGGUUCGUUUCUGCGAGAUAUGGCAUCAGGGAGUUCUUUUCAAUUCAUGUUGCAAAACUCUCGAAUCACUAGAAGUUAAAACGUGUAGAGCUCUGAGCUGGUUUUAUGUGUUUCUAGGGGUUCAGCAGCGCAAAAAUUGAUUUCAAGUUUUAUUUGCCUUUAUGCUAUACCUUUCUCAUGAUCAGGGAGUUCUUUUCAAUUCAUAUUCCAAAAAUUUAUGAUUCACUAGUAUUUGGAAGUACAGAGUUAGAACCUGAGCUGGUUUGCUGUAUUUACAGGGGCUUGUUUCCGUCUUUUGUUAAAGAUGUGUGCUGAGCUUGAACAAGAGGGGUUUGUUUGAUCAGGGAGGUUAAGUUGUGUUAAGUUACUAUUCUUUAUCUUUUGGGAAGUGAUAAUACAUUAUGAGCUUGUUAGUUUGAUGUGUUUCCAGGCGUCGAAUGGACCAAUGGUUGUUUAAUGGGAGUUGCUUUUGCUUUAUGCCCCUCAGAUUUGUGCUGAUCCUUUCUUUUUUCUGUUUUUUGUGAUUUUCUACUAGUUUUAGUUUGCAAUUUUACAACCUGCCCUGUUUCUUCAGGGUGGUAACUUUCGUCGUCUGUUGAAGGUGUCAGCAAAGUGUGACCAGGGAGGUCUAUACUUCUUUUCAAGUCAUGUUGCAAGAAGUUUAUGAUUCACUAACAUUUAACACGUAAAACUAGAGCCUGAGCUGGUUUGAUGUAUUUCCAGGGGUUCUGCGAGGAGAAGAUUGAGUUCUGGGGUUAUUUGCCUUGUCAUAAAUUUUUCAAUAUUUUAUUGAUCUGUUACUAUGUCCAUCUCUCUCUUUUUUCCUUCUCACCUUGGUGUGGCUAUAAUUUCAAUCGAUAUGUGGAUUCUAUUAUUGUCGUCCCAAGCUUUUUGUUUUUGCAGUGAUCAACACUCCCUCAAUCUUGCAGAACUCAAUUGUUGGCUAGAAAUUGGACAGCAUUUGAGUUACUGGCUUAUGCACUUGGAUUUUCCAAUGUUGUGUAAUGGUCGAAUCAGCAUGAGGAAAGACAAUUACAUUUUGGAGAGUCAGAUUGUUAGAGACGACUGUUAACUUGUUUCUUUCAAAAGGAGCUGUGCUGAUUUUGCUGAUAUGGUGUCAAAAUAGAAUGGUGUCUGUUUUUCUUCUUUUGUUGUCUGGUUGGUUCCGUUAAAAUUUGGUCAGUGUUUUACUUAGGUAUAGAAAAUUCACUUUGGUGGCUUGUUGAUCAAUAUGAGCUUGGAAGGUUUCCUUCUAGGAAUAUUGUUUUGUUUCCUUAAAAGAAUGAUGUAUGGCAAGCAAACGUAAUCCAUUGGUGUGAUGAGGCUGAGUCGAGUUAUCUUCUUUUGUUUUAAUGCUGUGGAUCAAAAUCGAGUUCAUGAUUGGUGUUGAUUUCUUCCAUUGAUCUGUUAAUGAGGUUGGCAAUCUGAGGUUUGUCUAGGGCUUUAUCGGGCUUGGGUGCGUGGAAGUGGCUUUUUUUUUUCCUGCUUAAAUUCCUUGUUUUGGAUAUUAUGUUAUCUAAUAUGGAUUUAUUAUCAGUACAAAUCAUUAUUUUUAUUGAAA